This is a long non-coding RNA of Chelonia mydas (Green sea turtle), 586 nucleotides long. RefSeq lists it as uncharacterized. NCBI's taxonomy places the organism in Eukaryota, Metazoa, Chordata, Testudines, Cheloniidae. The record is from RefSeq and is a predicted model, not a curated record. The transcript has 2 exons.
GUGAACUUUACCAUGGUCUCUAUUCUUUGCAGGAACACAUUCUGGAGGGUCGACCAGCAACCACCUGUUCUUAAAAAAGGCUUACUAUAAUGCACCUGAAGAAGUGGGCUGUAGCUCACAAAAGCUUAUGCUCAAAUAAAUUUGUUAGUCUCUAAGGUGCCACAAGUCCUCCUUUUCUUUUUGCGGAUACAGACUAACACGGCUGCUACUCUGAAACCUGUGAUAAUGCUAGUGGAGCACACACCUUACUUCAGGUAGCAGGGUUUAAAGGAGCUCGAGUUCUUUAAGGGAAACCCCUCCCCUCUUCCCAUCCACCACCACAGCAUCAUGUCUUGCUACAGCUCCCAGCAUAUCCUGCCUAGCCCCCAUCCCCCAACAUGACUGCAUUACAAAUAAGGCUAGAAAAGGAACAGCAAAAUCAGGUGCUCCGCUGAAGAUAAGCAGAACAAUAAACGAUGAAAGGAUACACUCUUUCAGGUCGUUACUGAAGUCUGGAUUUCUAGUCUGUCAGUGCUGAUCCUGGGGCUAGCCUCACAUCCGCAGCAUUCAAUCCCUGACUGGCCAUGGAGCAUGCCAAAGGGAGGAA